Molecule: ribosomal RNA, 253 nt
Filed under: uncultured bacterium
Lineage: Bacteria
Description: partial 16S ribosomal RNA
Rfam family: Bacterial small subunit ribosomal RNA
Source: RNAcentral
GACGAAGGAUGCAAGCGUUAUCCGGAUUCAUUGGGCGUAAAGGGUGCGUAGGUGGCGCGGUAAGUCGGGUGUGAAAUUUCGGAGCUUAACUCCGAAACUGCAUUCGAUACUGCCGUGCUUGAGGACUGGAGAGGAGACUGGAAUUUACGGUGUAGCAGUGAAAUGCGUAGAGAUCGUAAGGAAGACCAGUGGCGAAGGCGGGUCUCUGGACAGUUCCUGACACUGAGGCACGAAGGCCAGGGGAGCAAACGGG